CCCUUAGAUGUUCUGGGCUGCACGCGCGCUACACUGAAGCGUUCAACGAGUAUUCACCUUGCCCGGGAGGGUUGGGUAAUCUUUUCAAAACGCUUCGUGAUGGGGAUAGAUUAUUGCAAUUAUUAAUCUUCAACGAGGAAUUCCUAGUAAGCGCGAGUCAUCAGCUCGUGCUGAUUACGUCCCUGCCCUUUGUACACACCGCCCGUCGCUCCUACCGAUCGAAGAGUUAGGUGAAUUGUUUUGAUCGAUAAGAUUUGACUAUGGUCAACUCUCGUUGUGAAAUUCUGUGAAUCUGACUGUUUAGAGGAAGGAAAAGUCGUAACA
RNAcentral lists this ribosomal RNA (324 nucleotides) under uncultured eukaryote. Its description in RNAcentral is "partial 18S ribosomal RNA". It matches the Rfam family "Eukaryotic small subunit ribosomal RNA", at positions 1470 to 1796 of the family's 1831-position model. The record is from RNAcentral.